Molecule: transfer RNA, 77 nt
Filed under: Acidobacteriota bacterium
Lineage: Bacteria; Pseudomonadati; Acidobacteriota
Also listed under: 3 other names
Description: Acidobacteria bacterium tRNA-Arg
Rfam family: tRNA
About the family: Transfer RNA (tRNA) molecules are approximately 80 nucleotides in length.
Source: RNAcentral
GACCCUGUAGCUCAACUGGAUAGAGCGCUUGCCUACGAAGCAAGAGGUUGGCGGUUCGACCCCGCCCAGGGUCGCCA